CCUACGGGAGGCUGCAGUGGGGAAUAUUGCACAAUGGGGGAAACCCUGAUGCAGCGACGCCGCGUGAGUGAAGAAGUAAUUCGGUAUGUAAAGCUCUAUCAGCAGGGAAGAAAAUGACGGUACCUGAGUAAGAAGCCCCGGCUAACUACGUGCCAGCAGCCGCGGUAAUACGUAGGGGGCAAGCGUUAUCCGGAUUUACUGGGUGUAAAGGGAGCGUAGACGGCAGUGCAAGUCUGAAGUGAAAGGCGGGGGCUCAACCCCCGGACUGCUCUGGAAACUGUACGGCUGGAGUGCAGGAGAGGUAAGUGGAAUUCCUAGUGUAGCGGUGAAAUGCGUAGAUAUUAGGAGGAACACCAGUGGCGAAGGCGGCUUACUGGACUGUAACUGACGUUGAGGCUCGAAAGCGUGGGGAGCAAACAGGAUUAGAUACCCCAGUAGUC
This 440-nucleotide ribosomal RNA is filed under the name uncultured bacterium. RNAcentral describes it as "partial 16S ribosomal RNA". It matches the Rfam family "Bacterial small subunit ribosomal RNA", at positions 338 to 795 of the family's 1533-position model. The record is from RNAcentral.